This 97-nucleotide signal recognition particle RNA is filed under the name Cryobacterium ruanii. RNAcentral's name for it is "Cryobacterium sp. Sr36 signal recognition particle sRNA small type". It matches the Rfam family "Bacterial small signal recognition particle RNA". From Rfam's summary of the family: The signal recognition particle (SRP) is a universally conserved ribonucleoprotein involved in the co-translational targeting of proteins to membranes. Lineage: Bacteria; Bacillati; Actinomycetota; Actinomycetes; Micrococcales; Microbacteriaceae. The record is from RNAcentral.
GUCGGCUCCUCGUGUGGCGCCACCUUGGCCAAUUCCCCCAGGACGGAAACGUAGCAAGGGUAACCGAGCUCUGGCGGGUGCGCGAGGAGUCUUUUGC